AUGCUACUGCCUUACUUACCAGUGCUUUUCUUACCGAAAUCCAUCGUGUACAUGGACCAAUUCAAGCAUUUUUCAAGUGUUUUAUUUUUCUUCUCUUACGAAUUCAAGCAUCAAUGUGCAUGGUUCAUUUUUCAUCUAUUUAAUCGCAUUUGCCACUCCAGAAAGCUCUACAGUUUCUCAGGUUCUAUUUGUGCUUCUCGUCCUGGUGCUGUUCAAGUAAAUACGCAAGAGGAGGCGGUACAUAUGACCUCCUCGUCUGGGCUCCUCAAGUACAGUAACUCUGGCGGGACACCCUGCUCCACAGGCAGCAGCAACCUGGAGUCCGGCAGUGUCCACAAACCGCAGACACACCAAUUCACCUACGAGAAGCUGGAGGUGGCCAUCGGUGACUUCAGUGAUAGCCGAGAGCUCGGCGACCGGCGACGGCUUUGGCGACAUGUACAAAGAUUGAAAUGUAAGCUUGUAGAUGCUUGA
Molecule: ribosomal RNA, 474 nt
Filed under: Triticum aestivum (bread wheat)
Lineage: Eukaryota; Viridiplantae; Streptophyta; Magnoliopsida; Poales; Poaceae
Description: partial small subunit ribosomal RNA
Source: RNAcentral